RNA transcript from Arabidopsis lyrata subsp. lyrata, 1418 nucleotides. It is a transcript of the gene named ABC transporter I family member 11, chloroplastic, with no coding region annotated. Lineage: Eukaryota; Viridiplantae; Streptophyta; Magnoliopsida; Brassicales; Brassicaceae. The record is from RefSeq and is a predicted model, not a curated record. The transcript has 12 exons.
CCAAACCAUUUUUUUUUUUUUUUUGUAAACCAUUUAAAGGAAAAGAAAAUUGCCUCGAAAAGCCCAAUUAAGGCCCAAUCUGUCAAUCGCUUACGAUAUAAUCUCACCAGGAUUCUGAUUUCCCGGCAACGUUUUCCGAUACUCAAUUUUUUCUUUCUUCUUUGAACUUCCUUGUUCGAGAACUUGGCGAAGAAGCUCAUACAUUUGACAAUGGCAGUGUCGACGUUUUCGAGCCCCACGGCUGUCUCCGGCAUCGCUGAACCACCAGCAUCAUUCUCCUCCGCCGCAAUUGGCUGGAAGCAACCGUUGCGUUUUCGGAGGAAGAAGAAGCCUCGAGUAAUCUCGUGCGAUUAUUCUUGCAUCGAGGUUAGGGAUGUCUGCUACCGUCCUCCUGGAACACAAUUGAAUAUCUUGAAUGGUGUUAAUUUUUCCCUGCGUGAGAGAAGCUUUGGCUUGAUUUUUGGCAAGAGUGGGAGUGGUAAAACUACCCUUUUGCAGCUUCUUGCUGGGCUAAACAAACCGACAUCAGGUUCCAUUUGUAUCCAAAGAUAUGGGGAUGAUGGCCAGCCUAAGGCGGUUCCUGAGUUGCUGCCCACUGAAAAAGUAGGCAUUGUUUUCCAGUUUCCAGAGAGAUUCUUUGUUGCAGAUAAUGUGCUUGAUGAAAUUACUUUUGGUUGGCCAAGGCAGAAAGGUAGUUUGCAGCUUAAGGAGCAACUGACUUCGAAUCUCCACAGAGCAUUUAAUUGGGUUGGAUUAGACAGCAUCCCACUUGAUAAAGAUCCUCAGUUACUAAGUGGAGGCUACAAACGUCGACUUGCACUAGCUAUUCAAUUGGUGCAAACUCCAGAUUUACUGAUACUGGAUGAGCCCCUCGCUGGUCUUGAUUGGAAAGCACGUGCAGAUGUUGCAAAGCUCUUGAAGCACCUUAAGAAGGAACUGACUUUACUUGUUGUAAGUCAUGACCUAAGAGAGUUAGCGGCCUUGGUCGACCAGUCAUGGAGGAUGGAAACAGGGGGUGUUCUUCUUGCAGAACGUCCACCACUUUAGUUCAAUGUUCACUAUUGCGGAAGGUCCAUACCAGCUCCAACACGAAGUCUGCAAAUCAAUUAUGGAUCAUUAGCUGGUUGGGCCACAAGCAGAACACUUGUGCAUGCCUAAAUUGUUCUCCGUUUUUGGCUGAGCGAGAACUUCUCAGCUCAUACUGGAUACAUCUAUUACUUGCCUCAUGACAGGGGUUCACCUUCUCGAAUGUUAAGUCAAUAGAAUUUGCUUUGCUGUUUUUUGGAUUUGCCACGCUGCUGUAUAUUUCGGUUUCCAUUAUGGAUUCUUCUGGAUGUACUUUCCUAUGGAAAACUUGUACCAUCUGCACUCCUCACAUGAAAUUCAAGUUUGUUAGGAGCAAGCUUUUCAUUGGAGUA